GACGAACGCUGGCGGCGUGCCUAAUACAUGCAAGUAGAACGCUGAAGGAGGAGCUUGCUUCUCUGGAUGAGUUGCGAACGGGUGAGUAACGCGUAGGUAACCUGCCUGGUAGCGGGGGAUAACUAUUGGAAACGAUAGCUAAUACCGCAUAAGAGUAGAUGUCGCAUGACAUUUGCUUAAAAGGUGCAAUUGCAUCACUACCAGAUGGACCUGCGUUGUAUUAGCUAGUUGGUGAGGUAACGGCUCACCAAGGCAACGAUACAUAGCCGACCUGAGAGGGUGAUCGGCCACACUGGGACUGAGACACGGCCCAGACUCCUACGGGAGGCAGCAGUAGGGAAUCUUCGGCAAUGGACGGAAGUCUGACCGAGCAACGCCGCGUGAGGGAAGAAGGUUUUCGGAUCGUAAAGCUCUGUUGUAAGAGAAGAACGAGUGUGAGAGUGGAAAGUUCACACUGUGACGGUAUCUUACCAGAAAGGGACGGCUAACUACGUG
RNAcentral lists this ribosomal RNA (495 nucleotides) under uncultured bacterium. RNAcentral's name for it is "partial 16S ribosomal RNA". It matches the Rfam family "Bacterial small subunit ribosomal RNA", at positions 28 to 507 of the family's 1533-position model. The record is from RNAcentral.